UGGGUAAUCUGCCCUCGAUUCUGGGAUAGCCCGGGGAAACCCGGAUUAAUACCGGAUAGCUUCUCCNAGUCUUUCGAGCUCGUGAAGAAAGGUAG
RNAcentral lists this ribosomal RNA (95 nucleotides) under uncultured bacterium. RNAcentral describes it as "partial 16S ribosomal RNA". The record is from RNAcentral.